This 1172-nucleotide ribosomal RNA is filed under the name Escherichia coli. RNAcentral's name for it is "partial 23S ribosomal RNA". It matches the Rfam family "Bacterial large subunit ribosomal RNA", at positions 1 to 1214 of the family's 2925-position model. The record is from RNAcentral. Lineage: Bacteria; Pseudomonadati; Pseudomonadota; Gammaproteobacteria; Enterobacterales; Enterobacteriaceae.
GGUUAAGCGACUAAGCGUACACGGUGGAUGCCCUGGCAGUCAGAGGCGAUGAAGGACGUGCUAAUCUGCGAUAAGCGUCGGUAAGGUGAUAUGAACCGUUAUAACCGGCGAUUUCCGAAUGGGGAAACCCAGUGUGAUUCGUCACACUAUCAUUAACUGAAUCCAUAGGUUAAUGAGGCGAACCGGGGGAACUGAAACAUCUAAGUACCCCGAGGAAAAGAAAUCAACCGAGAUUCCCCCAGUAGCGGCGAGCGAACGGGGAGGAGCCCAGAGCCUGAAUCAGUAUGUGUGUUAGUGGAAGCGUCUGGAAAGGCGCGCGAUACAGGGUGACAGCCCCGUACACAAAAAUGCACAUGCUGUGAGCUCGAUGAGUAGGGCGGGACACGUGGUAUCCUGUCUGAAUAUGGGGGGACCAUCCUCCAAGGCUAAAUACUCCUGACUGACCGAUAGUGAACCAGUACCGUGAGGGAAAGGCGAAAAGAACCCCGGCGAGGGGAGUGAAAAAGAACCUGAAACCGUGUACGUACAAGCAGUGGGAGCACGCUUAGGCGUGUGACUGCGUACCUUUUGUAUAAUGGGUCAGCGACUUAUAUUCUGUAGCAAGGUUAACCGAAUAGGGGAGCCGAAGGGAAACCGAGUCUUAACUGGGCGUUAAGUUGCAGGGUAUAGACCCGAAACCCGGUGAUCUAGCCAUGGGCAGGUUGAAGGUUGGGUAACACUAACUGGAGGACCGAACCGACUAAUGUUGAAAAAUUAGCGGAUGACUUGUGGCUGGGGGUGAAAGGCCAAUCAAACCGGGAGAUAGCUGGUUCUCCCCGAAAGCUAUUUAGGUAGCGCCUCGUGAAUUCAUCUCCGGGGGUAGAGCACUGUUUCGGCAAGGGGGUCAUCCCGACUUACCAACCCGAUGCAAACUGCGAAUACCGGAGAAUGUUAUCACGGGAGACACACGGCGGGUGCUAACGUCCGUCGUGAAGAGGGAAACAACCCAGACCGCCAGCUAAGGUCCCAAAGUCAUGGUUAAGUGGGAAACGAUGUGGGAAGGCCCAGACAGCCAGGAUGUUGGCUUAGAAGCAGCCAUCAUUUAAAGAAAGCGUAAUAGCUCACUGGUCGAGUCGGCCUGCGCGGAAGAUGUAACGGGGCUAAACCAUGCACCGAAGCUGCGGCAGCGACGC